GGUGGGAUGGCUGAGGUAAGUGGUGGGUUGUAGCCCCAUAGACGGAGGUUUAAGUCCUUCUCCCAUCA
RNAcentral lists this transfer RNA (68 nucleotides) under Aphredoderus sayanus (pirate perch). Its description in RNAcentral is "tRNA-Tyr". It matches the Rfam family "tRNA". Rfam says of the family: Transfer RNA (tRNA) molecules are approximately 80 nucleotides in length. Their secondary structure includes four short double-helical elements and three loops (D, anti-codon, and T loops). Lineage: Eukaryota; Metazoa; Chordata; Actinopteri; Percopsiformes; Aphredoderidae. The record is from RNAcentral.